This 645-nucleotide ribosomal RNA is filed under the name uncultured Actinomycetes bacterium. RNAcentral's name for it is "bacterial SSU rRNA". It matches the Rfam family "Bacterial small subunit ribosomal RNA", at positions 232 to 885 of the family's 1533-position model. Lineage: Bacteria; Bacillati; Actinomycetota; Actinomycetes. The record is from RNAcentral.
CGCGGCCUAUCAGCUUGUUGGUGGGGUGAUGGCCUACCAAGGCGACGACGGGUAGCCGGCCUGAGAGGGUGACCGGCCACACUGGGACUGAGACACGGCCCAGACUCCUACGGGAGGCAGCAGUGGGGAAUAUUGCACAAUGGGCGCAAGCCUGAUGCAGCGACGCCGCGUGAGGGAUGAAGGCCUUCGGGUUGUAAACCUCUUUCAGUAGGGAAGAAGCCUUCGGGUGACGGUACCUGCAGAAGAAGCGCCGGCUAACUACGUGCCAGCAGCCGCGGUAAUACGUAGGGCGCAAGCGUUGUCCGGAAUUAUUGGGCGUAAAGAGCUCGUAGGCGGUUUGUCGCGUCUGCUGUGAAAACGCGAGGCUUAACCUCGCGCCUGCAGUGGGUACGGGCAGACUAGAGUGCGGUAGGGGAGACUGGAAUUCCUGGUGUAGCGGUGGAAUGCGCAGAUAUCAGGAGGAACACCGAUGGCGAAGGCAGGUCUCUGGGCCGUUACUGACGCUGAGGAGCGAAAGCAUGGGGAGCGAACAGGAUUAGAUACCCUGGUAGUCCAUGCCGUAAACGUUGGGCACUAGGUGUGGGACCCAUUCCACGGGUUCCGUGCCGCAGCUAACGCAUUAAGUGCCCCGCCUGGGGAGUACGG